UGCGUAGGCUGUGCAGAAAGUUGGGUGUGAAAUACCUCGGCUUAACCGAGGAAUUGCGCCCAAAACUACUGUGCUCGAGGAGGAUAGAGGUGAGCGGAACUUAGGGUGGAGCGGUGAAAUGCGUUGAUAUCCUAAGGAACACCGGUGGCGAAAGCGGCUCACUGGAUCUUUUCUGACGCUGAGGCACGAAAGCCAGGGUAGCAAACG
Molecule: ribosomal RNA, 207 nt
Filed under: uncultured bacterium
Lineage: Bacteria
Description: partial 16S ribosomal RNA
Rfam family: Bacterial small subunit ribosomal RNA
Source: RNAcentral